This 394-nucleotide unclassified non-coding RNA is filed under the name uncultured fungus. Its description in RNAcentral is "sequence contains ITS2". The stretch from base 1 to 152 matches the Rfam family "5.8S ribosomal RNA". Lineage: Eukaryota; Fungi. The record is from RNAcentral.
AACUUUUGACAAUGGAUCACUAGGCUCUUGCAGCGAUGAAGAACGCAGGAAAGUGCGAAAAGUGAUGCGAUUUGCAUGAAUCUGUGAGUCAUCCAAUCUUUGAACGCAAAUGGCACUCUUGUGUAAGCAAGAGUAUGUCUGUUUGAGAAUCCCAAAACCGAUCAACACCUGUGGGCGUUGGUACUGGCUUUCCGUGCAGUGUGCGGAUUGCUUAAAGAUAUUCAGGUUGAUGAGCUUCCAGCCAAGCUCGAAGUGUGCUAAUAGACUGUGGUUUUUCGUCAUUUGGUCUGUUUGGUUUCACGGCUCUAAACGACAACCUUUAAAACUUAUCUAAUAGGAUCUCAAAUCAGGCAAGAUUACCCGCUGAACUUAAGCAUAUCAAUAAGCGGAGGAU